CGAGCAGUCAUAAGGAAGUCUACCUUCUCGUCGAUGACUAGCUCGAUGCUGCAGUUGUGUGUCUAGUUCUUUGACCUGAGGUGCAUCGAUAGUUCACCUUGAGUGUGUUAUAGUUUGACUACACCAUAACUCGGUCUCCUAGCCAUUCGAAACUCUGAGGUGUAUGUUGGCUGUAGCAUAUUCAUUGUAGGAACUAGGUCGCACCAAGAUGGGAUCUAUCACCUCAGUAGAUGAGAGGAGUAGUCCUAUGAUGAUCGAAAGAUCGAGU
This 268-nucleotide long non-coding RNA is filed under the name Elaeis guineensis (African oil palm). RNAcentral describes it as "long non-coding RNA (EGUI_LNC060834)". Lineage: Eukaryota; Viridiplantae; Streptophyta; Magnoliopsida; Arecales; Arecaceae. The record is from RNAcentral.